GUAGGUGAACCUGCGGAAGGAUCAUUAAUAACGCCCCGUUUUUGUCGCAAGAUUUAAAUGGGUUCAAUACCCAAAACCGUGUCUACCUACCUUUGUUGCUUUGGCAGGCCGCCUUCGGGCGUCGGCUUCGGCUGAUUAGCGCUUGCCAGAGGCCCAAAACUCUGUGUUUAGUGAUGUCUGAGUACUAUAAAAUAUUUAAAACUUUCAACAACGGAUCUCUUGGUUCUG
This 228-nucleotide unclassified non-coding RNA is filed under the name rhizosphere metagenome. RNAcentral's name for it is "partial ribosomal RNA internal transcribed spacer region". The record is from RNAcentral.